GGUGAAGUUACAAAGAGCGUAUGGGGGAUGCCUUGGCACUGGAAGGCGAUGAAGGACGUGGUUACCUGCGAUAAGCCUGGGUGAGUCGGAAGCAGACUUUGACCCCGGGAUCUCCGAAUGGGAAAACCCACCGAGGGUAAUGCCUCGGUAUCGUAUACUGAAUACAUAGGUAUACGAAGCAAACCCGCUGAACUGAAACAUCUAAGUAGGCGGAGGAAGAUAAAACAAACGUGAUACCCUGAGUAGUGGCGAGCGAAACGGGUAGAGCCUAAACCAUUUGUGCUGUCAAGCGUGCAAGCGUUGGCGCAAGGGUGUUAUAGGACGGACCGGUGAUCUGCACGAUCAUCAAAGAGUAAAAAAUCAUUAUCAUAGCUAAAGUACCUGGAACGGUACACCAUAGAGGGCGAUCGUCCCGUAAGCGAAAUGGUAAUGACUCUUGUCUGUAUCCUGAGUACGACGGAAUAAGUGAAAGUCUGUCGGAAGUUGCGAGAACCAUCUCGUAAGGCUAAAUACUCUCCAGUGACCGAUAGUGAACUAGUACCGUGAGGGAAAGGCGAAAAGAACCCUUUAGAAGGGAGUGAAAUAGUACCUGAAACCGUGCGCUUACAAACGGUGGGAGCGAGCCCGGAUUUAUCCGGAGGAGUGACCGCGUGCCUUUUGUUUAAUGAGCCUACGAGUUACUCAUCCGUUGCAAGGAUAAGCAAUUAUGUUGCGAAUCCGUAGCGAAAGCGAGUCUGAAUAGGGCGAUUCAGUAACGGGUGGUAGACGCGAAACCUUGUGAUCUAGCGAUGGCCAGGAUGAAGGCUGGGUAAAACCAACUGGAGGUCCGAACGGGUACGGGUUGAAAACUGUUCCGAUGAGCUGUCGUUAGGGGCGAAAGACUAAUCAAACUGGGAGAUAGCUCGUACUCCCCGAAAUGCCUUUAGGGGCAGCGUUGGAUAAGAGUCUUCCGGAGGUAGAGCACUGAUUGGGCUAGGGCCGUCACAACGGUACCAACCCCAGACAAACUCCGAAUUCCGGUAAGAUGUUUUCCAGCAGUGAGGCGGUGGGUGAUAAGAUCCAUUGCCGAGAGGGAAAGAACCCAGACCAUCAGCUAAGGUCCCCAAAUAAUAGUUAACAGAGAAAGGAUGUCUCGUUGCAUAGACAGCUAGGAUGUUGGCUUAGAAGCAGCCAUUCAUUUAAAGAGUGCGUAAUAGCUCACUAGUCAAGCGACGUGGCGCCGACAAUAAUCGGGACUAAAACUUCGUACCGAAGCUAAGGCAUCGAAAGAUGGGUAGGGGAGCAUUCUGAUCUGCUGUGAAGGUGGUGGCGCGAGCCCUGCUGGAGCGUUCAGAAGAGAAGAUGUAGGCAUAAGUAACGAGAACGCAUGUGAGAAUCAUGCGCACCGAAAAUCUAAGGUUUCCUGAGCUACGUUCAUCGUCUCAGGGUUAGCCGGGUCCUAAGUCGAGGCCGAAAGGCGUAGAUGAUGGAUAAUCAGUUAAUAUUCUGAUGCUUGUCUGUAUGAGUUUGAUGUCAAGGAGGGACCCAGAAGUGAACCACCCGCGCACGAUUGGAUGUGCGUUGAAGGUCGUAGGCGUUGAGAGGCGUAGGCAAAUCCGCGCUUUGAGCUGAAAGCUGACAGUACGGGGAGUUUCGACAAACCGAGUGGUGUCUAAUCAGGCUGGCGAGAAAAUCUUCGUGACUAUUAUACAGGCGAUCCGUACCGUAAACCGACACAGGUAGAUGGGUUGAAUAUACUAAGGUGCUCGAGUGAGCCGUGGUUAAGGAACUCGGCAAAUUGACCCUGUAACUUCGGGAUAAAGGGUGCCCUCGCAAGAGGGUCGCAGUGAAAUGGGCCAACCGACUGUUUAACAAAAACACAUCUCUAUGCCAACCCCAUUGAGGGGAUGUAUAUGGAGUGACACCUGCCCGGUGCUGGAAGGUUAAGGAAGGGGGUCAGCAGCAAUGCGAAGCUUUCGACCGAAGCCCCAGUAAACGGCGGCCGUAACUAUAACGGUCCUAAGGUAGCGAAAUUCCUUGUCGGGUAAGUUCCGACCUGCACGAAUGG
RNAcentral lists this ribosomal RNA (2047 nucleotides) under Bacteroidota bacterium. RNAcentral describes it as "partial 23S ribosomal RNA". It matches the Rfam family "Bacterial large subunit ribosomal RNA", at positions 1 to 1999 of the family's 2925-position model. The record is from RNAcentral. Lineage: Bacteria; Pseudomonadati; Bacteroidota.